CAAUGGGCGAAAGCCUGACGGAGCAAUACCGCGUGAGGGAGGAAGGCUCUUGGGUUGUAAACCUCUUUUCUCAGGGAAGAAAAAAAUGACGGUACCUGAGGAAUAAGCAUCGGCUAACUCCGUGCCAGCAGCCGCGGUAAUACGGAGGAUGCAAGCGUUAUCCGGAAUGAUUGGGCGUAAAGCGUCCGCAGGUGGCGAUGAAAGUCUGCUGUUAAAGAGUGAGGCUCAACCUCAUAAAAGCAGUGGAAACUACAUAGCUAGAGUACGUUCGGGGCAGAGGGAAUUCCUGGUGUAGCGGUGAAAUGCGUAGAGAUCAGGAAGAACACCGGUGGCGAAAGCGCUCUGCUAGGCCUGUACUGA
RNAcentral lists this ribosomal RNA (360 nucleotides) under Aulosira laxa K44. RNAcentral's name for it is "bacterial SSU rRNA". It matches the Rfam family "Bacterial small subunit ribosomal RNA", at positions 369 to 743 of the family's 1533-position model. RNAcentral also lists the same sequence under 1 other name. The record is from RNAcentral. Lineage: Bacteria; Bacillati; Cyanobacteriota; Cyanophyceae; Nostocales; Fortieaceae.